AAUAAGAUGCCUGACAAAAGGGUUAUUUUGAUAGAAUAAAUCAUGUAAAUUUUACUCUUAUUA
Molecule: transfer RNA, 63 nt
Filed under: Helotrephes sp. NKMT027
Lineage: Eukaryota; Metazoa; Arthropoda; Insecta; Hemiptera; Helotrephidae
Also listed under: 2 other names
Description: tRNA-Ile
Source: RNAcentral